GUUUGGUCCAAGUGCCGAGGUGUUUACAACUAAUUGAUCAUAACCAGUUACGGAUUUCUUUGUUCUACCACUGCUUCACUUGACUAGCCUUGA
Molecule: Y RNA, 93 nt
Organism: Macaca mulatta (Rhesus monkey)
Lineage: Eukaryota; Metazoa; Chordata; Mammalia; Primates; Cercopithecidae
Rfam family: Y RNA
About the family: Y RNAs are components of the Ro ribonucleoprotein particle (Ro RNP), in association with Ro60 and La proteins. The Y RNAs and Ro60 and La proteins are well conserved, but the function of the Ro RNP is not known.
Source: Ensembl